RNAcentral lists this ribosomal RNA (254 nucleotides) under uncultured bacterium. RNAcentral describes it as "partial 16S ribosomal RNA". It matches the Rfam family "Bacterial small subunit ribosomal RNA", at positions 524 to 776 of the family's 1533-position model. The record is from RNAcentral.
UACGGAGGGGGCAAGCGUUGUUCGGAAUUACUGGGCGUAAAGGGCGCGCAGGCGGCUGCUCAAGUCAGGCGUGAAAGGCCUGGGCUCAACCCGGGAAUUGCGCUUGAGACUGGGCUGGCUUGAGUGCGGGAGAGGAUGGUGGAAUUCCUGGUGUAGCGGUGAAAUGCGCAGAUAUCAGGAAGAACACCCGUGGCUAAGGCGGCUCUCUAGUACGGUACUGACGCUGAGACGCGAAAGCGUGGGGAGCGAACAGG